UACGUAGGGCGCAAGCGUUGUCCGGAAUUAUUGGGCGUAAAGAGCUCGUAGGCGGCUUGUCACGUCGAUUGUGAAAGCCCGAGGCUUAACCUCGGGUCUGCAGUCGAUACGGGCUAGCUAGAGUGUGGUAGGGGAGAUCGGAAUUCCUGGUGUAGCGGUGAAAUACGCAGAUAUCAGGAGGAACACCGGUGGCGAAGGCGGAUCUCUGGGCCAUUACUGACGCUGAGGAGCGAAAGCGUGGGGAGCGAACAGG
RNAcentral lists this ribosomal RNA (253 nucleotides) under uncultured bacterium. RNAcentral's name for it is "partial 16S ribosomal RNA". It matches the Rfam family "Bacterial small subunit ribosomal RNA", at positions 524 to 776 of the family's 1533-position model. The record is from RNAcentral.